Molecule: ribosomal RNA, 320 nt
Filed under: uncultured bacterium
Lineage: Bacteria
Description: bacterial SSU rRNA
Rfam family: Bacterial small subunit ribosomal RNA
Source: RNAcentral
GACGAACGCUGGCGGCGUGCUUAACACAUGCAAGUCGAACGGACCCAGUAGCAAUAUUGGGUUAGUGGCGAACGGGUGCGUAACACGUGACCAAUCUGCCCCGGACUGGGGAAUAACGGAGGGAAACUUCCGCUAAUACCGCAUAUGGAGCGAGGCUCGCAUGGGCCUCUCUUGAAAGCUUCGGCGGUCCGGGAUGAGGUCGCGCCCCAUUAGCUUGUUGGCGGGGUAACGGCCCACCAAGGCGACGAUGGGUAGCUGGUCUGAGAGGACGAUCAGCCACACUGGGACUGAGAUACGGCCCAGACUCCUACGGGAGGCUG